Syngnathoides biaculeatus (alligator pipefish) is the source of this 6821-nucleotide long non-coding RNA. RefSeq lists it as uncharacterized. The record is from RefSeq and is a predicted model, not a curated record. NCBI's taxonomy places the organism in Eukaryota, Metazoa, Chordata, Actinopteri, Syngnathiformes, Syngnathidae. The transcript is spliced from 5 exons.
GCGUGUCGCGGCGGCCGACCUUGACGAAGGCGUCCCGCACGUCCAGCGCUUGCUGCAUGCUGAGCGGCGUGGACACGGUUUCUCCCCUGGUGAUCAGCGUCCGGCUCGUCAGGCAGUUCAUCAGGUCCUUGCCGUCCACCUGCGCGCACAAAGACUUCCAGUUCAGUUUUCACUUUACGCUCUGACUUACCCUCCAGAAUGGGAUUGGCCUCCAGGACCUGCUGCUCGAUCCACGAGUGUUGGCCGCUGAUGGCCGCCAGGAACUGCAGGAUAAGCUUGGUGCUUUCGGUCUUACCCGCUCCAGACUCUCCGCUAUUGGGUCGUGCCCCAGAGGAAACUUUUGGGAUCCCGAGUAAAGAAAGUGCUUAUCCUCACAAGGGUCACGGGAGUGCCGGAGCCUAUGCCAGCUAACGUUGGACGAAAGGCGGACUAGACCCUGAACUGGUCGCCAAUCAGCCGGAGGGCACAAUCGACGCCAUCACUGAGCGGGAAUCGAACCCGUGCUUCCCGCACCAAAGUCAGAAAGUGUCAAAGGGAUUUGGACAUCUCGUCUUCGUGUCGUCUUUGUGUGCGGCCAGCGGAGCGUCUGAUUGGGUGUUGUCUGAAAUUCCACAACGCCGCAAAAUGGCAGCCGGCACAGAGUGCGAAGGGGCAGACGUGACGACACCAAACGUUCCCUGACAACAACUGGAGCGAAGUGGAAUAGGAUUGCUACGUAAAUUGAAUAAUGAUAUAGUCCAGAAAUGGACUCGAAUCAGAGCUCAAGUGGCCUAGAACUUGAAGUGUGUCACAAGUGGACAUCUUUGUUGACUUGCACUCCAAAUUAGGGAUGGCUGAAGUGGAGCAUGAUGGAACAAAACAAGUGGAAUAUAAGUGGUCGUAACCGAAAGAACGAGAUCCCGAAUACGGUUCUCCCUUAGAGAACGGGUGAGAAGUUCGCUCAUCCGGGAGGGGCUCAGUGUCGGGCCGCUAGUUCUCCGCAUUGAGAGGAGUCAUAUGAGGUGGCUGGGGAAUCUGAUUCGGAUGCCUCCCGGACGGCUCCCUGGUGAGGUGUUCCGGGCACCUCCCACCGGAAAGAGACCCCGAGGACGACCCGGGACACGCCGGAGGGACUGUGUCUCCCGGCCGGCUUGGGAACGCCUCGGGAUCCCUCCGGAAGAGCUGGAAGAAGUGGCUGGGGAAAGGGGAAGUCUGGGUAUUCCUGCUGAAGCCGACCCGGAAAAGCGGUGGACAAUGGAUGGAUGGAUGGAAUAUAAGUGAAAUCAAAAGAACGCCAGAAGCGGAAUAGAGGUUGAAUACAAAUAGAUCAAAAGUGAAGCGUGGGGACGCCACAAGUGGACUAGAAGUUGACCGCAGGUGGAAUACAAGUGGCCAAAAGGGAAUCAUAAGGGGAAUAAAAGUGGAACAAAAUCAAACAAGUGUAAUCCAUUUUUAGCGUUUAUUAUAUUAGUCCAGUCGUCUAAACUUUUCUGCUGCGUUUAUCACCAUAAAGACUACAAGUGGAAUUCUGGACUCUAACAGGAGUGUUAGCUUUUUGCUUUUAGCAUUAGCUACAUUGCAUGCGGGCUUGCCAGUAUUGUGUCAUGUAAACGUUUGUGUUCUUGGGUUGGCAAAGGCGAAACCAGAACAACGUGACCCACUUUCAUGUGCCGCCAACUUGCGGCACACACUUCCUGUCACCGCUCCAGAACCUGAUCUAGUCACCACGUGGCCUGAGGGCAUCUCCAUCAUCGCCCCCCCCCCCCUUGCCCCUGCUGCGCCCCCCCAGAGAGAGAGAGACACACACACUGGCCCAUUCUGAGCUGGAAAAUGCCAGCAGCGAUGCAUGAUGGGAACUUUCUGGGGCGGCACAAAUGAAAGGUGAAGGACUUUGUCAAAGUCAAUGCGUUGAGCUUUUCAUUCACGUGACACCGAGCCCGCCCAAACUAUCGCUGGAGAAUAUGUAUAAGUUAGCAUACCAACUGUUAGCAUGUUAGCGUUGCAUCCGUUCUCGAUAGAAAUAGUAUGCAACCGGCUGGCAAAAAAUGUAAAAUUCUUACUAAUCCCUCAGGUCUUUUCUCACUCUUGUCAAAUGUUAGCAUAAGAACGCUUAGCUUGUUAGCAUCUGAGCUAUUCUCUUUCAGACCGCAAGGCACAAUGUUAAGUUCAUGGGAAUUGGACCUGAGAUUUGUGAUGUUUGCAUGCUAACUGUGGGCAUUCAAAAUUGGACAAUUGGUAUUUUUUUUACUGAAGUCAAAAUAUUGAUAUUAAUUGGUUAUUGAUGGAUUUUGUACCAAUGCAGACCUAUCGAGGGGAAAAGCCAAUGCCGAUUGUAGGCUGGCCCUGAGACCAGAUUAAUGCAGAGAUGCGUCAGGAAGAGAGUCCGGCUCCACGCUUUGAUAAACAAAUAUAAGCGUUGAUCCAAAGAAUUUCGGAAGAAGACCUUCUGAGCUAAGAACUGUGUGGCGGAACCUGAGAAAGGAAGAAUCUUGUGUGGCUUUUUGAGAAGAGGAGGACAGGAAAAGCUCUCGGAAGACUGGACCACUGCAGUCAAGGUGAUCACACAGAUAGGUAGACAGAGACUGAGGUAGACAGAGAGUACUUUUCGGACCUUCUGGUAGGAAAGCAUAGAAUGAGACUAGGUGGGGGAACCUCAAAGUACAGGAAGUCCUACAAGGAAAGGGGUUAGCAAAGGAGAGGUGGGACACUGAGAGGACUGACUGAGGAGAGGGGAAAGGAAUACAUCCAGAUGCGACGUAGGGCAAAGGUAGAGGUGGCCGAGGCUAAACAAGAGAAAUGUGAUGGUACGUACACCAGGUUGGACACGAAAGAACGAGAAAAGGAUCUCUACAGGUUGGCCAGACCGAGGGACAGAGAUGGGAAGCAUGUGCAGCAGGUAAGGGCGAUUGAGGUGAGCGGUGGAAAUGUGUUGACUGGUGGCAGUAGUGUGCUAAACAGAUCGAAAGAAUACUUUGAGAAGUUGAAGAAAAUGAGAGAGAAGGAAGAGUAGAAGGUGAAGGACCAGGAAGUGGCAAUGACUAGUAAGGGGGAAGUUAGAAAAGCACUAAAGAGGAUGAAAAAUGGAAAGACAGCUGGUCCUGAUGGCAUACCGGUGGAGGUAUGGAAGAAAUUUGGGGAGGUGGCUGUGGAGUUUUUGACCAACAUGUUCAACAGAAUUCUCGCGGGUGAGAAGAUACCGGAUAAAUGGAGGAAAAGUGUGCUAGUUCCCGUUUUUAAGAACAAAGGUGAUGCGCGAAGGUGGGGCAACUAGAGAGGGAUGAAGUUGAUGAGCCACACAAUGAAGUUAUGGGGAAGAGUCAGUCGGGGAGGCUAGACUGAGGACAGAAGGGAGUAUUUGCGAGUAUUUAUGCGGUGGCUACCCCGAACGGGAAAAGCCCAAAGGAAAACAUGAUGGACAUAUCUGGUAUCAGUGUUUCCCAACAUUUAGCAAGAAGUGCUUAAACUGGUUGGCUUUCUUGUACUUUGUGGCAUCUAGUUAAAAAAAUUGUAAGCGGGUCUUCCAAUCGAUUACACAUCAUUACCAUAGAUAAUGACUAACAAUAGAUUAUUUAUAAUACACAGGUGAAAUUUGACGAUCUCGGAGCCGCGAAUGUUGGGAAUCGCCGAUAUAAGCAGAAAAGACCCCCAAAUAUUUGGCAAAGUUCUUGGCGAGACGCAGUUGAGCAUCAAAUGUAUCUGGGAGGUUGUUCAGAGUUCUUCUCACCGUGCUUGUUGCGUCAUUUAGAGGACGAAGAAGAAGAAAAACGUCAGGCGGAAAUAUUUCAUUUUCAUUUCAGUCCUUCAUCUGCAGACGUGUAUCGGCAGACGUCCUCUGUCGAUUCCGCUCACUUCCUGCAGUUCUUGGGGACGACCUGUUCUCCGGGGGGUCCUUGUCCUCCUGCGGCCGGCGAGGAUCUCGUGUCCAGCGCGCAAGACCGCUCGCUCUACCCUGUCGCCGUGAAGGCGUCGUGCGCGCAACUCAUUCACUGUCAGUGACCCGUGCUACUAGCGCAACACAACACGGCGUGGGGGGUGGAAUCACGUACACACAAAGAACACACAGGCUGGGUUACUGCUUAUUGAUUUUGUAUUUAUUUAUUUAUUUAUUUUGUCGAUUAAAAUGUAAUCAUAUUUGAAGGAUUUAUUGCGAUCUACAAUGUUUUAGAGAUCAAAGGACUUUGACUCAAGAGAUCCAAUUUUUAGAUCUGUUCUACGUUGAUGGAAUCUGCUUUGAGGUGAACUUGAACACUUUGAACAUCAAUUAUGUUUAUGUAAGUAUGCAGAAAAGUCAUCCUUGGUUGGUCAUGUGAUUUAACGAAGUGGAUCACAAGUGGAUUGAAAAUGGAACGCCAAUUGACACAAGUACGACACAAGGGGACUCAAAGUGGACCACAAGUGGACUACGCGAUCAAACAGCUUCACUUUAAUUGGACCGCAAAUGUAAUCAAAGUAAAUCUAAGUAAGUACAUCUGGACAACAAGUGGAAUACAACUCAACCGAAAGUGGAUCACAAAUGUAAUUGAAGUGGAAUAAUAUUGGACUAGCGGUGGAAUACUAACUCGGUUGACAUAGGCUGAGUAGAUUCAAAAUGGCACAUAUCUGGACCACAAGUGGAAUACACGUAGCUCAUAAGUGAAUCACUUGGAGAUUAGAAAUGGCUCACAAGUGGACCAAAAAGGUAAUACAGAUUAUUAAUCUGCACGAUCAAACAGCUUCACUUGAAGUGGACCGCAAAUAUAAUUAAAGUAAAUCAGAAGUACAGUAAGUGGAAUACAACUCAACCAAAAGUAGAUCACAAAUGGAAUAGAAGUGGAAUAAUAUUGGACUAGGGGUGGAAUACAAACUAGGUUGACAUAAAAAAAAAAGAUCAUAGGUGGACCAAAAGUAGAUUCGAAAUUGCACAUAUCUGGACCACAAGUGGAAUACACGUAGAUCAUAAGUGAAUCACUUGGAGAUUAGAAAUGGCUCACAAGUGGACCAAAAAUGUAAUCCAGAUUAUUAAUCUACAUGAUCAAAGUGCAUAACAAAUGUAAAGUAAAUCAGAAGUACAGCAAGUGGAAUACAAUCCAACCUAAAGUAGAUCACAAAUGGAAUAGAAGUGGAAUAACAUUGGACUCGGGGUGGAAUAAACUAGGUUGACAUAAAAAAAAAGAUCAUAAAUGGAGUAUAAUGCCUCAUAAAUGGACCACAAGUGGAUUUGAAAUGGCACAUAUGCGGAUCACAAGCGGAAUACACGUAGAUCACAAGUGAAUCACUUGGAGACUAGAAAUGGCUCACAAGUGGACCAAAAAUGUAAUCCAGAUUAUUAAUCUACAUGACCAAAGUGCAUAACAAAUAUAAUUAAAGUAAAUCAGAAGUACAGCAAGUGGAAUACAAUCCAACCUAAAGUAGAUCACACAUGGAAUAGAAGUGGAAUAACAUUGGACUCGGGGUGGAAUAAACUAGGUUGACAUAAAAAAAAAAGAUCAUAAAUGGAGUAUAAUGCCUCAUAAAUGGACCACAAGUGGAUUUGAAAUGGCACAUAUGCGGAUCACAAGCGGAAUACACGUAGAUCACAAGUGAAUCACUUGGAGACUAGAAAUGGCUCACAAGUGGACCAAAAAUGGAAUCCACAGACCGUAAGGUAAAUCAAGUAGGCUACAAAUGGAUUGCAAGUGGAUCAAAAGUGCAAUACACUUUGAUCACAAGUGGACUACAAAGGGAUUAGAAGUGGACUACAAAUGGAUCAUAAGUGAAUCACAAGUACAUUUCAAAUGGAUCACAAACGGACCAAAAGUGGAAUACAUGUUCAGUGGAUCAUAAAAGAAUCACAAGUGGACCAAAGAUGAACUACAAACGGAAUGAGUAGACAAAAAGUGAAAUACAAAUGGAUCAUUAGUUGACCACAAGUGGAUCAAAAGUGCAAUACACUUGGAUCACAAGUGGACUACAAAUGGAUCAUAAGUGAAUUGCAACUUCAUUUCAAAUGGAUCACAAAUGGACCAAAAGUGGAAUACAUGUUCAGUGGAUCAUAAGAGAAUCAGAAGUGGACUACAAAUGACAAAAAGUGAAAUACAUAUGGAUCAUAAGUGAGUCACAGCUAGACCACAAAUGGAUCAUUAGUUGACCUCAAGUGGAUUACAAAAGGAUCAUGUGGACAAAAAAGAAAUACGGAUCUGAUUGAGUUUGUGGAUUAUAAAUGGACUACAAAUGGAUCCUUUGUGGAUCAAAAAUUGAAUACAAAUGCAUUGCAAGUGGACCAAAAGUCGACUGCAAGUGGAAUAGAAGUAGCUGAAAAGUGUAUCAGUUAUUAUUGUCAGGUGACCUGGUUCAAAGGGAUUCCGUCGUCCGGGUGACGGCAUCCCUUUGUCAGGUGACCUGGUUCAAGGGGUUGCGUCGUCAGGGUGACCAGGUUCAAAGGGUUGCAUCGUCCGUUCAUCGGGUGACCUGGUUCAAGGGGUUGCGUCGUCCAGGUAACGGAGUCCGUUUGCCGGGUGGCCUGGUACAAAGGGUUGCGUCGUCCGGGUGACAACGUCCGUCCGUCGGGUGACCUGGUUCAAAGGGUUGCGUCGUCAGGGUGACGGUCUCCCUUUGUCAGGUGACCUGGUUCAAAGGGCUGCGUCGUCGCGGUGACGGCGUCUGUCAGGUGACCUGGUUCAAAGGGUUGUGUCGUCAAGGUGACAACGUCCGUCCGUCCGUCGGGUGACCUGGUUCAAAGGGCUGCGUCGUCGCGGUGACGGCGUCUGUCAGGUGACCUGGUUCAAAGGGUUGUGUCGUCAGGGUGACAACGUCCGUCCGUCCGUCGGGUGACCUGGUUCAAAGGGUUGCGUCGUCGUGGUGACUGCAUCAUUUUGUCAGGUGAC